RNAcentral lists this ribosomal RNA (1371 nucleotides) under uncultured bacterium. RNAcentral's name for it is "bacterial SSU rRNA". It matches the Rfam family "Bacterial small subunit ribosomal RNA", at positions 28 to 1381 of the family's 1533-position model. The record is from RNAcentral.
GAUGAACGCUGGCGGCGUGCCUAAUACAUGCAAGUCGAGCGAACGGACGAGAAGCUUGCUUCUCUGAUGUUAGCGGCGGACGGGUGAGUAACACGUGGAUAACCUACCUAUAAGACUGGGAUAACUUCGGGAAACCGGAGCUAAUACCGGAUAAUAUUUUGAACCGCAUGGUUCAAAAGUGAAAGACGGUCUUGCUGUCACUUAUAGAUGGAUCCGCGCUGCAUUAGCUAGUUGGUAAGGUAACGGCUUACCAAGGCAACGAUGCAUAGCCGACCUGAGAGGGUGAUCGGCCACACUGGAACUGAGACACGGUCCAGACUCCUACGGGAGGCAGCAGUAGGGAAUCUUCCGCAAUGGGCGAAAGCCUGACGGAGCAACGCCGCGUGAGUGAUGAAGGUCUUCGGAUCGUAAGCUCUAUUAUUAGGGAAGAACAUAUGUGUAAGUAACUGUGCACAUCUUGACGGUACCUAAUCAGAAAGCCACGGCUAACUACGUGCCAGCAGCCGCGGUAAUACGUAGGUGGCAAGCGUUAUCCGGAAUUAUUGGGCGUNAAGCGCGCGUAGGCGGUUUUUUAAGUCUGAUGUGAAAGCCCACGGCUCAACCGUGGAGGGUCAUUGGAAACUGGAAAACUUGAGUGCAGAAGAGGAAAGUGGAAUUCCAUGUGUAGCGGUGAAAUGCGCAGAGAUAUGGAGGAACACCAGUGGCGAAGGCGACUUUCUGGUCUGUAACUGACGCUGAUGUGCGAAAGCGUGGGGAUCAAACAGGAUUAGAUACCCUGGUAGUCCACGCCGUAAACGAUGAGUGCUAAGUGUUAGGGGGUUUCCGCCCCUUAGUGCUGCAGCUAACGCAUUAAGCACUCCGCCUGGGGAGUACGACCGCAAGGUUGAAACUCAAAGGAAUUGACGGGGACCCGCACAAGCGGUGGAGCAUGCGGUUUAAUUCGAAGCAACGCGAAGAACCUUACCAAAUCUUGACAUCCUUUGACAACUCUAGAGAUAGAACCUUCCCCUUCGGGGGACAAAGUGACAGGUGGUGCAUGGUUGUCGUCAGCUCGUGUCGUGAGAUGUUGGGUUAAGUCCCGCAACGAGCGCAACCCUUAAGCUUAGUUGCCAUCAUUAAGUUGGGCACUCUAAGUUGACUGCCGGUGACAAACCGGAGGAAGGUGGGGAUGACGUCAAAUCAUCAUGCCCCUUAUGAUUUGGGCUACACACGUGCUACAAUGGACAAUACAAAGGGCAGCGAAACCGCGAGGUCAAGCAAAUCCCAUAAAGUUGUUCUCAGUUCGGAUUGUAGUCUGCAACUCGACUACAUGAAGCUGGAAUCGCUAGUAAUCGUAGAUCAGCAUGCUACGGUGAAUACGUUCCCGGGUCU